This 430-nucleotide ribosomal RNA is filed under the name uncultured bacterium. RNAcentral's name for it is "bacterial SSU rRNA". It matches the Rfam family "Bacterial small subunit ribosomal RNA", at positions 34 to 507 of the family's 1533-position model. The record is from RNAcentral.
CGCUGGCGGCAGGCUUAACACAUGCAAGUCGAGCGGGCGUAGCAAUACGUCAGCGGCAGACGGGUGAGUAACGCGUGGGAACAUACCUUUUGGUUCGGAACAACACAGGGAAACUUGUGCUAAUACCGGAUAAGCCCUUACGGGGGAAAGAUUUAUCGCCGAAAGAUUGGCCCGCGUCUGAUUAGCUAGUUGGUGAGGUAACGGCUCACCAAGGCGACGAUCAGUAGCUGGUCUGAGAGGAUGAUCAGCCACAUUGGGACUGAGACACGGCCCAAACUCCUACGGGAGGCAGCAGUGGGGAAUAUUGGACAAUGGGCGCAAGCCUGAUCCAGCCAUGCCGCGUGAGUGAUGAAGGCCCUAGGGUUGUAAAGCUCUUUUGUGCGGGAAGAUAAUGACGGUACCGCAAGAAUAAGCCCCGGCUAACUUCGUG